This 846-nucleotide ribosomal RNA is filed under the name Dendrobium brymerianum. Its description in RNAcentral is "eukaryotic LSU rRNA". The stretch from base 361 to 516 matches the Rfam family "5.8S ribosomal RNA". Lineage: Eukaryota; Viridiplantae; Streptophyta; Magnoliopsida; Asparagales; Orchidaceae. The record is from RNAcentral.
GAUCGCUGUGAUGCGGGCGGUUCGCCGCCCGUGACACUGCGAGAAGUCCAUUGAACCUUAUCAUUUAGAGGAAGGAGAAGUCGUAACAAGGUUUCCGUAGGUGAACCUGCGGAAGGAUCAUUGUCGAGACCGAAAUACAUCGAGCGAUCUUGAGAACCCAUCAAAAUAAGCGGUGGCUAUUGCUGCUGCGAAUAAAAUCCAUCCCAAUUAUCGCCUCAUCCCAUCCUAGGGGCGGGGACGUGAUAAAGGAUGGAUGAACCCUCAAACCGGCGCAGCGUCGCGCCAAGGGAAUAUUGAAACACGAGCCCUAAAUCGGGUUUUGUGGCUUGGGGUGCUGUUGCACGUCAUAUGGAUUGACACGACUCUCGGCAAUGGAUAUCUCGGCUCUCGCAUCGAUGAAGAGCGCAGCGAAAUGCGAUACGUGGUGCGAAUUGCAGAAUCCCGCGAACCAUCGAGUCUUUGAACGCAAGUUGCGCCCGAGGCCAACCGGCCAAGGGCACGUCUGCCUGGGUGUCAAGCGUUGCGUCGCUCCGUGUCAAGUCACCCAUUGAUGGAUGGGUUGGCGAAGGCUUGGAUGUGCAUAGUGGCUCGUCGUGCCCCUCAGCGCGGCGGGCUGAAGAGUGGGUCAUCAUCUCGUUGGCUGCGAAUAAUAAGGGGUGGAUAAAAGCGAGGCAGAUGUUAUUGUGUUGUGCAUGCCUAAGAGAUGAUUAUACUUUUAAGAUGAUCCCAAAUCAUGCGUCGAUCCAUGGAUGGCGUUUUGAAUGCGACCCCAGGAUGGGCGAGGCCACCCGCUGAGUUUAAGCAUAUCAAUAAGCGGAGGAGAAGAAACUUACGAGGAUUCCCUUA